AGGGGUGAGGGUAUGGGUAUGACAGUGGGAACAGAUGGACUAAGUGGAAAAGUCAGCACAAUGGGUUUUGGUAUUCCCCCUAGCAAUUUUUUCAGCUCCCAGUCUAGCUUAGACUUUUCAAGCUAGAAAAUGGAAGAAUCUUCUAGGAGGAAGCUGGUAAAUCCAACAAGGUCUAACUGACAUCAGGGCUAACAUAAAGGCUUUGCCAAGGACCCAAACAGCCCAACCAGUGAAGCCCUCCUCACAUCCAAUCAUCUUUCUGUACCUACUCUUAAAUAUGAAAAAUCUUCCUCAGAGAAGUAAAAGAUUAAGACUUCACGUUCAUGAGACAAUAGCCUCUUACACAGAAGGACCAGUCAGGUACCCCUUUUCAGGAAAGCUAUGAGAAUAAGAGCUUCUUCAAAAUGAGAGAGGGAAUAAGUAAGCAGCAGCCAAGGGAUCAAGGAAACAUGAGAUCCAACUCAAGAGAAGCAAAGAAAAUUCUUAGAAAUGGAGGAAGAUCCCAGAGGACAUUUGUGCAUUAGGACAGAAAAUGCUGGCUCUUUUCUUCAGUGAUGAAGAGAUGGAUAUGAAGAUUCCGAGUCCUCAGAAUACUCACCGGCUCAAACGGCAAGACCGUGUCAUCCCUAAUUCCGUACUUUGCUCGUAAGGCCUACAAAAAAAUUUUGCAAAUUAACACGGAUGAUCAACACUUUAUUGGCUAUUGGCAUAAUCAGUGAGACGACACACUCCAAAACUUCUUUAAUAAUAUUUGUUCUCCUAAAUAAAUAAGAAUUUUAAAUAUAAA
Long non-coding RNA from Suricata suricatta (meerkat), 787 nucleotides. RefSeq lists it as uncharacterized. The record is from RefSeq and is a predicted model, not a curated record. Lineage: Eukaryota; Metazoa; Chordata; Mammalia; Carnivora; Herpestidae. The transcript has 3 exons.